Molecule: long non-coding RNA, 3939 nt
Organism: Cornus florida
Lineage: Eukaryota; Viridiplantae; Streptophyta; Magnoliopsida; Cornales; Cornaceae
Exons: 3
Source: RefSeq, a predicted model, not a curated record
CCCGCCACCGUCCCGCAACCAGCCAACGAGUUGGGGAUUUUUGCCACCCCCACGUGCGCUCUCAGAACUCCAUCUCUUUGGUUACUCAAAAUCAACCCAAUUCUCCGAAAAAAAAAAAAAUCAACCCAACCGGCGCCACCACUCCCGGUGCAUCUCUCCGUUGCCGAAAAUAUGGUGAAGCCCUCUGCCAAUUCGCGGAGCAAGAGAGCAGCUAUGAAGGCCACCACUGAAGAAGAUCCAGCGCGUAAACGGUUUAUUCCUGACGCUUCGGAAUCGAGAGAGAAGGUGAUGAAGAUGAGAUCUUAGAUCCGAGAAGAGAGAGAGAGAGAUUCGACGCUUGGGAUGGUUGCCAGAGUCUUGCCGAAGGUGGAGAAGAGUUGGGAUGCAGCGGCGAAGGGUGAAACGAGGGUUUGAGAUCGAUUCUUGUGGAAUCGAUCGAAUGACCCUAAAUCGAUUUUUAAACACAUUCCCUUGCCAGUUCAAUUGAUCGAACUGAAUCCUCAGAUCGAUCGAACUGACAUCGAUCUCUCCUCUAAAGUGACAAAAUAUUUUUUGGAAUUUUUGAAAAAUAAAAAUAAAUAAAAUAAAAGUAUUUUUAGGAUUUUUUUUUUUUUUUUUUUUUUUUUUGAAAUGAAGAAUUUAAAACAAAGUCAAAACAAAGUCAAAAUUUAAAGUCAAAGAACAAAGAUCGAUCGAUCGAGAAUGCAUAGAUUUGAAGAAAUGUUUGAUCGAUGGGACAGAGAGGCUUUUAGAUGCAGGUUGAUGCAGGUUCAAAAUUUUUCUAAGUGUUGGAACUGCAGAUCGAUCCAAGAUAAAGUGGGAUCGAUCGAAGAACUAAAGAUCGAUCUAGGAACAAGUUCAAACGAUGGGACAGAGAGCUGAAAUAUGCAGGUUUUGUUCGAACGAUUGGACAGAGAGUGAUUUGGAUGCAGGUUUGAUGCAGGUGGGAAGUUCAAUCGAUCGAACUCAUUUUAAGAUCGAUCGAACUUAUGCAAAAUGCUUAAUUUCAACGUAAAAAUGCAUGCAAUCCUAAUCACAGUUCCUAGCAAUGCAUAUGAACCCAAAGCCAAUAUCUAGACUUCACAAGAAAUGAAAUUAAAGAUAGAAAUGAGGGAGGAAUAGGGUUUUGACACCCUACGAAAUGCUUUUGUUAGUCUUUAACGUCUCUAGCAAGACGUUGGGCUCUUUUAGCCCUGAUCAAACAUCUUGUAAUGCAUCCCCUCCUUGUUGGGGUGAUAAGUGCUUCGAACUCCACCCAACAAAUGGUUCUUUAAGGAACUUGUUGGAUUAAGCUCAAAAGACGUUUUCGGUCCUUGGUCAAUGCAAUCUUUGGGCUUCCAUGCCCUUUCACAAUAAGAAUUUGAAACAAUUUUCUUAGAAUGUAGGGUUGAAGAUGAAUCUUUUGAAACUUUGGUUUCACUCAAAAACUCUAUUCCUUCACUUUUAAGGUCAUGACAUUUUUCUACAACAUUAACCUCUUCAUGCUUAUCAAUUGAGUUGGGGGUUGGAUUGAAAAUAUUCAACUUCACCUUCAUGUGGCCAAAUGAGAUUUUCAUUAUCCCCGUCCUACAAUUGAUGUUGGCAUUCGUGGUUGCCAAGAAAGGAUGGCCAAGGAUAACGGGAAUUUGGCUCUUAAGAUUCAGGACCGGUUCCAUGUCAAUGACAACGAAAUCAACGGGAAAGAAGAAUUUAUCAAUUUUAAUCAAGACAUCUUCAGUGAUACCCCUAGGCUUUUUGAUUUAUCGGUCGGCAAGUUGUAAAACCACCGACGUCAGUUUCAAGUCUCCUAAGCCUAAUUUGACAUAUACCAAGUAUGGAAGAAGGUUAACACUUGCUCUUAGGUCAAGAGAGCCCGAUUCAUGAUAAGAUCACCAAUGAUGCAUGAAGUGGUAGGUGAACCAGGGUCCUUAAACUUUGGAAGAGUGUUAUGCUGCAAAAUUGAGCUUACUUGCUCAGUUAAGACCACUUUUCUAUUUGCUUGGCUUUUAUUCUUCCUAUUUUGGGUGCAUAAAUCUUUUAAGAACUUGGCAUAAGCCGGAAUUUACUUGAUUGCAUCCAAAAGCGGAAGAUUAACUUUCACUUACCUAAACACAUCCAUAAUCUCAUUUGCUUUGAUCUUUUGCUUGUCAAUUGAAAUGGAUCCUUUUAAAACAUCUGAUAAGCGCCGAAUAUUGUAUAUUCAAGCGCCCUAAAUUGCAUUAGUAAAGUCCGUUGUAUGUUAAUUUAUGUAGAUUAUCUUCAUUUCUAUGUUUUUAUGCAUUUUCAGGUUCCUUGGCCCAAAAGGAGCAAAAAUAAGGUGUUGUGGAUUUUUGAUCAACAAUGUGCUCAAAAGCUGAAUUUCAGGCAGCAGUGGAACUCGAUUUUGAUUGCCACUUCUGACCCAGAAAGCUCGAGAUCUGGACUUCCAUUAUAAAAUGGAAUAUUUAGAGCUCUGCAUUAGCUUUCUAAAUCUUCAAACGGUUUGUCAUUCGGAGCUCGGAGCAGAGAGUUAUGGCCUUGUUACCAGAGGUACACAGAACUGCCUAGCAGCAAUGAAAUUCUGCCUUGAUCUUCAUUUUCGACCAACCAUCCUUGAGAAUUGGAUCUCCAUCAAAACAUGAGGUAUUUAAAGCUCUGAAUUAGCUCUCCAAAUCUUCAAACGGUUUGUCAUUCAGAGUUCGGAGCGCAAAGUUAUGGCCAUUUCAUCAAAGUAGGUCCGGGCGGAGCAAAUGGAGAAUAGGCAUUCUGCCCAAUUUUCGAGUGCUCGAGGCCCAAAUUCGAGCACUCGAAUUUAGGGCAGUUUGUCUCCGAAAAAUCACUAUUUCAGCCACUUGUUUCUUGGUUCCUUCAUUUUCUGAUUUCCUUCUUGAUGAGGUGGUUGGAGAUGUUCCUAGGAGGGGGGGGGGAGAGAGAGAGCCUAGUUUGGUGGUAGAUAAGAGGGAUAAGAGCCACACAUCUCCUAAGCUAGUUUUGAUCAGAUUUUGGGGAGAGAAGAGAGCAAGGAGAUAGAGUUCUUCAAGCUUGAAGAAGGGAGCACGAAAAUGGAAGAGGUCUUCAAGCUUCUUCCUUCUUCCAUUGCUCCUAUGGGUAACUAAAUCUUCUCUAGGGAGGUGAUGAAGCCCCUCCCUUGUAAGCAUGUUCUAGUGUAGAUUUUACUUUUGGGAUUUCAAUGUAUUAUUGUUGGUGAUUUUAUGAUCUAGAGUAUCAUAUGUGUUGUAAUGAAUUCUAAUGUCUAUACAUGAUUAUUUUGAGCUAUUCAUCUUGUCUUAGAUGGUUUCUCUUCCUAAUCAUAUUGCUUGCAUUUCCAUAGUGACAAUGGAAGUUAGAUCAUGGAAUGGUUUUAAUGGCAUGGAGUUUGAGAACUUUGAUAAAUCAUUGCUUAGGAUGCCCUUUGAUGGUUUAUACUUGAUUCUUAACUUUGUGUGCUCUCAUCAUUUAAUUAAGGGCUUGAUAAUCUUUGGCUUAGGGAGCAUGUUAAAGACUACACCUUAGUUUAGGUAGUUCAAGCAUGUGAAUCUUUGAUGGAUUAUUCUUGUUUUUGAUUUAAUGAACCUCUUGAGGAUAGUAUAGCAACCAAGGGUUGUUAUGUGUCAUGACCAUCAUUUAUGUUGAUUUUCCCAAUUUAAUCUCAAUCUAGAAUGUGUAUAGGGUUGGAGCGGAUUCAUUUCCCUAGUUUUUCUCUACUUGUAUUUCAUCUCUUUUUAAUUCUUGCAAGUUUCUAAUUUAUGCAAUUUCAAUAUUCUUAGCUUAAGUGACAAACAACAAAACCUUUAUAAACCCUUCAUCAUUCUAGAAAGAUUCUAGACACUAAGGUUGCCGUAAGACUAACGCAGUCCUAGUGGUUCGACUUACCCAACCAAUAGCCCUAUUUUACAAUGAUUCGUGCUAUUGCGAAGGUUGAUGUAUAGUUGAUCAACCGAUCAAUUUUUGGCGCCGUUGCCGGGGACUGCAAACGGUUUA